AAAUAUCCUUUUUUGAAACAUUUUGUACAAUGCAAUAGUCUAACCCACGUUCUUUGGGGGUUUUUGUAGAUGAUUUUGUUCUCCUGAAUGUGUCGUUUGCUUUCCUGUUCCUUGAGAGUUGCGGUUGUGGGUUUUUGGGGUCAAGCACAUUGUAACAAAAGGCUUAGAUUUCACUUCCACUCUAGGAGUUUGAGGUCUUGGUUUUGUUUCAGGCGAACCAAGAGUAAAAAAAAAAAAAAAAAAAAAAAACACUUUGAGAUUUCUGCUGGACUCCGAAGGCCAGGGAAGUUCAGAAACCUGAAACGCUCGAUCACAAUUCCAAGAUAAAACUGCAAGGAACUAAAUGAGGGAUAAAAAUGAAGAUUUGGACAGGGAUUCUAAACCAGAAUACUCAAACACAGAAAUUAUUUUUCAAGGGUGUUGCCCUCCCAUCCAGGAGGAACAGCUUUCUUCUCUCAGCCCUGUUCCACCCCGACUGACCCACAGCAGCGCCGCCUUCCUUUUAUACUGACUCCUCACACCUGCUCUGAAUUAACGGGGCAUCGUCCCGUGCAGGAGCAGUUUCUGACUGCUGUCCCGCAUCCUUGUACCACCAAAAUCGACUUCCCCUUGUGUGCUGUACUCUCUGGUUUUUAAUGUUUGCAUUCAAUGAAAACUCUCGCCAUUUGUUUUUUUCCUUUUGAGGUGAUCAUUGUGAACAUUUGAAAGGUGUGUUAUAGUCAUUAAUUUGUAUAAUGCCAUUUUUAAUUAUUAUUAUUAAAAUAACUAUAUAUUUAUUUUUUUCAUGAUUAUAAUAAUUUAAAAACUUCACCCUAGAUUUGAACUCCUAACCUUCAGCCCCAGCAGCUCCGCCCUUACCUGUUGUGCUAUAGGCAAUGUGAUGAGGCUGGAUGUUGAACUACAGGUAUAUAUUACCCCCUCUAUUGGCCACAGAAGGAAUAAAACACACAGUUAUGCUCUGGAUUUGAACCCAUGUCUCCAGGGCAGACAGCAGCAAUGCAAACACUGUGCUUUAACCCACUACACCACCACGACGUUCACUGUGCAGAUGUGCCUCAAUCAUUAUCACCUAUGAGUCUCUCCUUCCCCUCUGAGUGCGACUGGGAGGUUGUGCGUCUCAUACAAGGCUAAUGGAGCCUGUUUAUCACACAACAGACUUUCAUUGGGUGGAGCAGCCAGGUUAGUGGGUUCAGGGUUUAUUUGGGGGGGGUGUGUGUGGGACAACUGAGCCCUCCUAAAUACCCAAGACUUGUUCUUUCAUUAACUGAAUAUGAAUGUGUUUUUAUGUCAGUACUACACCAUCCAGCAGCCCUCUCUCGCUCUCUCUUCCCCAUGACCACCCCCUUCUCUUCCCAACCCCAAUGCAAUGCUCUCUGUGUUACCUGCAGAGGAAACAUACUGAACAAUAAAAGCCAAGCAACACUGAUUUCCUCGUGUCUGGUGU
Molecule: long non-coding RNA, 1444 nt
Organism: Acipenser ruthenus (sterlet)
Lineage: Eukaryota; Metazoa; Chordata; Actinopteri; Acipenseriformes; Acipenseridae
Exons: 3
Source: RefSeq, a predicted model, not a curated record